Long non-coding RNA from Rhipicephalus sanguineus (brown dog tick), 709 nucleotides. RefSeq lists it as uncharacterized. Lineage: Eukaryota; Metazoa; Arthropoda; Arachnida; Ixodida; Ixodidae. The record is from RefSeq and is a predicted model, not a curated record. The transcript has 3 exons.
UCGUACUGCCGGAGCACCACCAGCUUCCCGUGAACACAUGUGUGCCGCGCUUACAUGUUUAUCGUGUAUUGUGUGUGUUUAUUGCGUGCUUAUCGUACGCGACAUUCGUCGACUGGGCAUUUUCCGCGUGUUGGGGCGUUCUCCUGCCUUGAUCCAGUGGCGGAUGAUGGUCGUUGUUCGUUGCCACUCAACACAGCCUCACGGGACGCACAGCUUUGUGUCCGCGCUCAAAAGUGCUUUCUUGCUUCGUUCAUCGAUUACUCACGUUGAUCGAGUGUACUUCCGAAGACAAUCCGCGUCCGAGUGUUUUGACAAGCGGCGACCGCGGUUCCACAGGAGCGGAAGCUUGAGCCUUUUGACGAGCGACUGUGCCAAACUUGGGUAAGUUGAAGAAGGUCGCUGAACUACGUAACUUUGUUACUUCAUUGCAUGAAAACUGUUUGCAGGAACCGUCGUGUUGGCACAGCGAGGAUGAUCAACAGAUACCCGAUAGGCAGCGAUGAGAGCUGUUCAUGGCACCGACACAGAGGACAGAUUGCAGUACAAGAUAGGAGCAUACUUCCUGCAAGCCCGGGCAAGCCAUAAUGAGUGGUUUCAAAUACAGCAACUGUACCACCACAACAGUGCAGCACAGGAGAGCCUAUCGUCAGUGCCGCAUCGAGAAAUUAAAUAAAAAAGCACUUACUCCUGGAAACUUCUCGUAUCAUCU